RNAcentral lists this ribosomal RNA (1027 nucleotides) under Pestalotiopsis sp. NIOCC 29V. Its description in RNAcentral is "SSU rRNA". It matches the Rfam family "Eukaryotic small subunit ribosomal RNA", at positions 72 to 1109 of the family's 1831-position model. The record is from RNAcentral. Lineage: Eukaryota; Fungi; Ascomycota; Sordariomycetes; Amphisphaeriales; Sporocadaceae. RNAcentral also lists the same sequence under 1 other name.
ACCUAAACGGCGAAACUGCGAAUGGCUCAUUAAAUCAGUUAUCGUAUAUUUGAUAGUACCUACUACAUGGAUAACCGUGGUAAUUCUAGAGCUAAUACAUGCUUAAAAUCCCGACUUCGGAAGGGAUGUAUUUAUUAGAUUAAAAACCAAUGCCCUUCGGGGCUCACUGGUGAUUCAUAAUAACUUCUCGAAUCGCAUGGCCUUGCGCCGGCGAUGGUUCAUUCAAAUUUCUGCCCUAUCAACUUUCGACGGCUGGGUCUUGGCCAGCCGUGGUUACAACGGGUAACGGAGGGUUAGGGCUUGACCCCGGAGAAGGAGCCUGAGAAACGGCUACUACAUCCAAGGAAGGCAGCAGGCGCGCAAAUUACCCAAUCCCGACUCGGGGAGGUAGUGACAAUAAAUACUGAUACAGGGCUCUUUUGGGUCUUGUAAUUGGAAUGAGUACAAUUUAAAUCCCUUAACGAGGAACAAUUGGAGGGCAAGUCUGGUGCCAGCAGCCGCGGUAAUUCCAGCUCCAAUAGCGUAUAUUAAAGUUGUUGCAGUUAAAAAGCUCGUAGUUGAACCUUGGGCCUGGCUGGCCGGUCUGCCUCACCGCAUGCACUGGUCCGGCCGGGCCUUUCCCUCUGGGGAGCCGCAUGCCCUUCACUGGGUGUGUCGGGGAACCAGGACUUUUACUGUGAAAAAAUUAGAGUGUUCAAAGCAGGCAUAUGCUCGAAUACAUUAGCAUGGAAUAAUAGAAUAGGACGUCGCGGUUCUAUUUUGUUGGUUUCUAGGACCGCCGUAAUGAUUAAUAGGGACAGUCGGGGGCAUCAGUAUUCAAUCGUCAGAGGUGAAAUUCUUGGAUCGAUUGAAGACUAACUACUGCGAAAGCAUUUGCCAAGGAUGUUUUCAUUAAUCAGGAACGAAAGUUAGGGGAUCGAAAACGAUCAGAUACCGUUGUAGUCUUAACCAUAAACUAUGCCGACUAGGGAUCGGGCGGUGUUAUUUCUUGACCCGCUCGGCACCUUACACGAAAGUAAAGUUUUUG